UGAAUACGAGACGCUAAGGCGUCGAAGUAGUGUAUGUCAUACUUCCAAGAAAAGCUUGCACUGUCAUAGAUAAAAAACGCCUGUACCAUAACCGACACAGGUGGGUAGGUAGAGUAUACUAAGGGGCGCGAGAUAACUCUCUCUAAGGAACUCGGCAAAAUGACUCCGUAACUUCGGGAGAAGGAGUGCCUUAUUCUUAAGGUUGCAAUAACAAGAUCCAAGCAACUGUUUAUCAAAAACACAGGUCUCCGCUAAGUCGUAAGACGAUGUAUGGGGGCUGACGCCUGCCCAGUGCCAGAAGGUUAAAGAAGUUGGUUAGCAUUUGCGAAGCUGAUAACUGAAGCCCUGGUGAACGGCGGCCGUAACAAUAACGGUCCUAAGGUAGCGAAAUUCCUUGUCGGGUAAGUUCCGACCCGCACGAAAGGCGUAAUGAUUUGGAUACUGUCUCGGAGAGGGGCUCGGUGAAAUAGACUUGUCUGUGAAGAUGCGGACUACCUGCACCAGGACAGAAAGACCCUAUGAAGCUUUACUGUAACUUGAAAUUGAAAUUGGACUUUAUUCGCGCAGUAUAGGUGGGAGGCGUUGAUUAUAAUCUUGCGGGAUUAUUGGAGCCAUCAGUGAGAUACCACCCUUGUAAUGUUAGAUCUCUAACUUUGAAUCAUUAUCUGGUCAAAGAACAGUUUCAGGCGGGCAGUUUGACUGGGGCGGUCGCCUCCUAAACGGUAACGGAGGCGUACAAAGGUUUCCUCUGAACGGUUAGAAAUCGUAUCUAGAGUGUAAAGGCAUAAGGAAGCUUGACUGUGAGACCUACAAGUCGAGCAGGGACGAAAGUCGGUCUUAGUGAUCUGACGGUACUGAGUGGAAAGGCCGUCACUCAACGGAUAAAAGUUACUCUAGGAUAACAGGCUGAUCUCCCCCAAGAGUUCACAUCGACGGGGAGGUUUGGCACCUCGAUGUCGGCUCAUCGCAUCCUGGGGCGGUAGUACGUCCCAAGGGUUGGGCUGUUCGCCCAUGAAAGCGGUACGCGAGCUGGGUUCAGAACGUCGUGAGACAGUUCGGUCCAUAUCCGGUGUAGGCGUUAGAAUAUUGAGAGGAGCCUUCUUUAGUACGAGAGGACCGAGAAGGACAUACCUCUGGUGUACCAGUUAUCGUGCCAACGGUAAACGCUGGGUAGCUAUGUAUGGAGUGGAUAACCGCUGAAAGCAUCUAAGUGGGAAGCCCACCUCAAGAUAAG
RNAcentral lists this ribosomal RNA (1234 nucleotides) under metagenome. RNAcentral describes it as "bacterial LSU rRNA". It matches the Rfam family "Bacterial large subunit ribosomal RNA", at positions 1564 to 2808 of the family's 2925-position model. The record is from RNAcentral.